GACGAACGCUGGCGGCGUGCUUAACACAUGCCAGUCGAACGGAAAGGCCCUGCUUUUGUUGGGUGCUCGAGUGGCGAACGGGUGAGUAACACGUGAGUAACCUGCCCUGGACUUUGGGAUAACUUCAGGAAACUGUGGCUAAUACCGGAUAGGAGCUCCUGCUGCAUGGUGGGGGUUGGAACGUUUCGGCGGUUGGGGAUGGACUCGCGGCUUAUCAGCUUGUUGGUGGGGUAGUGGCUUACCAAGGGUUUGACGGGUAGUCGGCCUGAGAGGGUGACCGGCCACAUUGGGACUGAGGUACGGCCCAGACUGCUACGGGAGGCAGCAGUGGGGAAUAUUGCACAAUGGGCGGAAGCCUGAUGCAGCAACGCCGCGUGCGUGAUGACGGCCUUCGGGUUGUAAACCGCUUUCGCCUGUGACGAAGCGUGAGUGACGGUAAUGGGUAAAGAAGCACCGGCUAACUACGUG
RNAcentral lists this ribosomal RNA (468 nucleotides) under uncultured bacterium. RNAcentral describes it as "partial 16S ribosomal RNA". It matches the Rfam family "Bacterial small subunit ribosomal RNA", at positions 28 to 507 of the family's 1533-position model. The record is from RNAcentral.